Molecule: ribosomal RNA, 253 nt
Filed under: uncultured bacterium
Lineage: Bacteria
Description: partial 16S ribosomal RNA
Rfam family: Bacterial small subunit ribosomal RNA
Source: RNAcentral
UACGUAGGGGGCGAGCGUUGUCCGGAGUUACUGGGCGUAAAGCGCACGCAGGCGGUCUGCUAAGUUUGGAGUGACAGUUGGUGGCUUAACUGCCAAAGUGCUUCGAAAACUGACAGACUUGAGGGCUUCAGAGGGACACGGAAUUCCGGGUGGAGUGGUGAAAUGCGUAGAGAUCCGGAGGAACACCAGUGGCGAAGGCGGCCUGCUGGGCAGUUGCUGACACUGAGGCGCGACAGCGUGGGGAGCAAACAGG